Molecule: ribosomal RNA, 422 nt
Filed under: uncultured bacterium
Lineage: Bacteria
Description: partial 16S ribosomal RNA
Rfam family: Bacterial small subunit ribosomal RNA
Source: RNAcentral
AAUCUUCCGCAAUGGACGAAAGUCUGACGGAGCAACGCCGCGUGAACGAUGAAGGUCUUCGGAUCGUAAAGUUCUGUUGUUAGGGAAGAACAAGUACCGGAGUAACUGCCGGUACCUUGACGGUACCUAAUUAGAAAGCCACGGCUAACUACGUGCCAGCAGCCGCGGUAAUACGUAGGUGGCAAGCGUUGUCCGGAAUUAUUGGGCGUAAAGCGCGCGCAGGCGGUUCUUUAAGUCUGAUGUGAAAUCCCACGGCUCAACCGUGGAUGGUCAUUGGAAACUGGAGGACUUGAGUGCAGAAGAGGAGAGUGGAAUUCCAUGUGUAGCGGUGAAAUGCGUAGAGAUAUGGAGGAACACCAGUGGCGAAGGCGACCACCUGGGCUAAUACUGACUCUGAGGUGCGAAAGCGUGGGGAGCAAACA